This 460-nucleotide ribosomal RNA is filed under the name uncultured bacterium. RNAcentral's name for it is "partial 16S ribosomal RNA". It matches the Rfam family "Bacterial small subunit ribosomal RNA", at positions 338 to 795 of the family's 1533-position model. The record is from RNAcentral.
CCUACGGGAGGCAGCAGUGAGGAAUAUUGGUCAAUGGACGAGAGUCUGAACCAGCCAAGUAGCGUGAAGGAUGACUGCCCUAUGGGUUGUAAACUUCUUUUAUAUGGGAAUAAAAUGUUCCACGUGUGGGAUUUUGUAUGUACCAUAUGAAUAAGGAUCGGCUAACUCCGUGCCAGCAGCCGCGGUAAUACGGAGGAUCCGGGCGUUAUCCGGAUUUAUUGGGUUUAAAGGGAGCGUAGGUGGAUUUGUAAGUCAGUUGUGAAAGGUGGCGGCUCAACCGUGAAAGUGCAGUGGGAACUGGGAGGCUGGAGUGCAGGGGAGGUGGGCGGAAUUCGUGGUGUAGCGGUGAAAUGCUUAGAUAUCACGAAGAACUCCGAUUGCGAAGGCAGUUCACUGGACUGCAACUGACACUGAGGCUCGAAGGUGGGGGUAUCAAACAGGAUUAGAUACCCUUGUAGUC